This 462-nucleotide ribosomal RNA is filed under the name uncultured bacterium. RNAcentral describes it as "partial 16S ribosomal RNA". It matches the Rfam family "Bacterial small subunit ribosomal RNA", at positions 28 to 507 of the family's 1533-position model. The record is from RNAcentral.
GACGAACGCUGGCGGCGUGCUUAACACAUGCAAGUCGAACGGAAAGGCCCUUCGGGGUACUCGAGUGGCGAACGGGUGAGUAACACGUGGGUGAUCUGCCCUGCACUUUGGGAUAAGCCUGGGAAACUGGGUCUAAUACCGAAUAGGACCACGCGCUUCAUGGUGUGUGGUGGAAAGCUUUUGCGGUGUGGGAUGGGCCCGCGGCCUAUCAGCUUGUUGGUGGGGUAAUGGCCUACCAAGGCGACGACGGGUAGCCGGCCUGAGAGGGUGACCGGCCACACUGGGACUGAGAUACGGCCCAGACUCCUACGGGAGGCAGCAGUGGGGAAUAUCGCACAAUGGGCGCAAGCCUGAUGCAGCGACGCCGCGUGAGGGAUGACGGCCUUCGGGUUGUAAACCUCUUUCAAUAGGGACGAAGCGCAAGUGACGGUACCUAUAGAAGAAGCACCGGCCAACUACGUG